Molecule: ribosomal RNA, 254 nt
Filed under: uncultured bacterium
Lineage: Bacteria
Description: partial 16S ribosomal RNA
Rfam family: Bacterial small subunit ribosomal RNA
Source: RNAcentral
UACGUAGGGGGCGAGCGUUAUCCGGAUUCAUUGGGCGUAAAGGGCGCGCAGGCGGUCCCGGGUAGUGGCGCGUGGAAUCUCCCGGCUCACCUGGGAGGGGUCGCGGCAGACGACGGGACUAGAGGCAGGCAGAGGAUCGCGGAACGGGCGGAGUAGGGGUGAAAUCCGUAGAGACCGUCCGGAACACCAAUGGCGCAGGCAGCGGUCUGGACCUGUCCUGACGCUCGGGCGCGAAAGCGUGGGGAGCGAACGGA